Hyaena hyaena (striped hyena) is the source of this 1189-nucleotide long non-coding RNA. RefSeq lists it as uncharacterized. The transcript is spliced from 4 exons. The record is from RefSeq and is a predicted model, not a curated record. Lineage: Eukaryota; Metazoa; Chordata; Mammalia; Carnivora; Hyaenidae.
GCAGGCAAGGGCAGGCCGUGGCUUUGCAGCUAGCUGCCCCAGGGCAGACUCAGACGCGUAGCACCUGGCCAGCUACAGCAUGGCUAUUUUUGCAACUACAGCAACAAGCACUCAUCAACAGUCACAAGGAAUGGCUGUGAAUCUGCUGCAGCAAGAACGUGCGUCUUCAGAAAGCUCUACCCCACCUGUAAGAAGACACGAUCCCGGCUCUUUCCUCCACUGAGGCCACAGGUCAACGGAGCAGCAAGGGUCCAAAGUGAGAAAUGGGAAGCUCCUUCCAAGAAGACCGUUCCCUGAGCACCAGGGGCUGGACAGUCACAGAGAAGGAGAAGCCUGGAGCCCGUCAGCGCCACCACGCACAGCCAGGGGACAGGGCAGCAGAGUGAUCGGGAGCGGGUUUGAACCUAGGUUUGCACCCAGGCUCUCCAUUUACGGGUUGUGACACCCUGGGCACCAGUUUUUCCUUACCUGAGAUGGGCAUGGAAACAGUUUUAACCUCAUGGAGCCGGAGUAAUGAAACAUCUGAACACUAUGAAGAGUGCUUGGUCCAUGAUGCACAUUCACCCCAGACACCCUGAAAACCGGGCUGCUCCCUGCACCCCGAACAAGAACACGAGCCCUGCCGAUCACUGCAUCAUGCUUCUGAGCUGCGUGCACAGGGCGAGGCCGGGGACCGGGCUCUGCUGUGGGUCCACACACGCUGUGUCCCUGCACUGGACAAAGUCAGCCCUCGGGGCGCUGGCUGGGAUUCAGGGAAAGCUACGAACUAGGACCCUGGCUUCCCAGACAGGAGGAAACCAAGACUGACAGAGAGAAUGUGACUUGACUGAAGCCAGCCAGCUCUGUCGCUCUGUCUCCGCACUGAACAAAACUACUCAGAAAGAUGAGGAAUGCUUGUGCAGAAUGUCAGCAAGAGGAGAGAGGCAAGGCGCAGACGGUUCCUAUUUCCAAGAGCUGAUGACACGCUGCCCACCUGCACACCUCCCUGGGGACCCCAGACUGGCCCUGAACCCAGCCCCCAGGCUCAGCACCAGGAGGCUGAGACUCAUGGGAAAGACACUGUAGUAGAAAUAUGCUGCUUCUGCAAUAAACAGCGGGAUAGGAUUUCUGUAAGUGAAAGGGUAGAUACCCAAACUCAUCAGAUUCAAAGAAAUCCACAGUAUAUGUUUCCUAUCAUCUUAGGGGGAUG